RNAcentral lists this ribosomal RNA (358 nucleotides) under Escherichia coli. Its description in RNAcentral is "partial 23S ribosomal RNA". It matches the Rfam family "Bacterial large subunit ribosomal RNA", at positions 2578 to 2925 of the family's 2925-position model. The record is from RNAcentral. Lineage: Bacteria; Pseudomonadati; Pseudomonadota; Gammaproteobacteria; Enterobacterales; Enterobacteriaceae.
UGUUCGCCAUUUAAAGUGGUACGCGAGCUGGGUUUAGAACGUCGUGAGACAGUUCGGUCCCUAUCUGCCGUGGGCGCUGGAGAACUGAGGGGGGCUGCUCCUAGUACGAGAGGACCGGAGUGGACGCAUCACUGGUGUUCGGGUUGUCAUGCCAAUGGCACUGCCCGGUAGCUAAAUGCGGAAGAGAUAAGUGCUGAAAGCAUCUAAGCACGAAACUUGCCCCGAGAUGAGUUCUCCCUGACUCCUUGAGAGUCCUGAAGGAACGUUGAAGACGACGACGUUGAUAGGCCGGGUGUGUAAGCGCAGCGAUGCGUUGAGCUAACCGGUACUAAUGAACCGUGAGGCUUAACCUUACAAC